AUACACAAAUGGUUUUGAUGCUCUAGGCAAUGUUGCACCAUAAACUAUUUCAAUUGCCCUCUUGAGAGCAUCACAAUCUACAAGUCUGUCAUUGAUCAAAA
Ipomoea nil (Japanese morning glory) is the source of this 101-nucleotide long non-coding RNA. RefSeq lists it as uncharacterized. NCBI's taxonomy places the organism in Eukaryota, Viridiplantae, Streptophyta, Magnoliopsida, Solanales, Convolvulaceae. The transcript has 3 exons. The record is from RefSeq and is a predicted model, not a curated record.